Molecule: long non-coding RNA, 1065 nt
Organism: Ochotona curzoniae (black-lipped pika)
Lineage: Eukaryota; Metazoa; Chordata; Mammalia; Lagomorpha; Ochotonidae
Exons: 2
Source: RefSeq, a predicted model, not a curated record
CCCUGCGCGAAUCUGCACAGACUCCUUUCUCCAGCCAAUGCUCACUUCUGAGUGAGUAUAACGAUCCGAGUAUACCGAUACCGAUCCGAGUAUACCGAUACCAAUUCGAAAAAUCGCAUUUGUUGUGAGCCGUGCCCGGGUUUACACGGGUUGCAGGCACCUAGGCAUGCCCCUUUCUAGUGAGUAUGCCGAGAGAGGAAGUCCCUGUGGUGAGCCGCGCCUGGUCUGCCAGGGCGUCGGGUUUUGGGUUCGUUUUCCGUGGACUAUACCGAUACCGAUCCGAAAAAUCGUAUUUGUUGUGAGCCGGCCCCGGUGCUGCCAGAGCUGCGGGCACCGGCGCAUGCUCCCUUCCGAGUGAGUAUGCUGAGAGAGGAAGUCUCUGUGGUGAGCCGCGCCCGGAUUAGCCCGGGUGGAGGGCACUGGUGCAUGUAACACUCUGCUCAGUAUGCCAAAAAUGAAGUCUCCGUGCUGAGCCGCGCUCGAAUAUAUCCAGGCUCCUUUCUCCAGCCAAUGCUUCCUUGGGGUGAAUAUAAUGAUCCGGGAAGCUCCAUGGUGAGCCGUUCCCAGGUCUGCCAGGGCGCCGGGCUUUGGGCUCGCUUUCCUUGAGUAUACCGAUACCGAUCUGAAAAAUCGUAUUUGUUGUGACCGGCCCCGGUGUUGUCCGGGCUGCGAGCACCGGCGCCUGCUCCGUUCAGAGUGAGAAUGCCCAGAGAGGAAGUCUCGGAGGUGAGCCCUGCGCGAAUCUGCACAGACUCCUUUCUCCAGCCAAUGCUCACUUCUGAGUGAGUAUAACGAUCCGAGUAUACCGAUACCGAUCUGAAAAAUCGUAUUUGUUGUGAGCCGUGCCCGGGUUUACACGGGUUGCAGGCACCUAGGCAUGACCCUUUCUAGUGAGUAUGCAGAGAUAGGAAGUCUCUGUGGUGAGCUGUGCCCGGGUCAGCCCGGGUAGCGGGCACUGGUGGAUGCACCCUUCUGCUGAGAUGCGAAAAAUGAAGUCUCCGUGCUGAGCCUCGCGCGAAUAUAUCCAGGCUCCUUUCUCCAGCCAAUGCUUCCUUGAGGUGAGUA